UAAACUCAAGUUUAGUUUCAAAUUCGUUUCUUUUAUUUAUCUAUUUCGAUUUUGGGUAUGUUGUUAAAUUGGGGUUCUUGAACAAUUGAAUUGAAGAAAUUAAAUGUGAAUUAUCGGAAAAUUCAGGGAUGUUACACACACUCUCUUUCUCUCCUCUCUCCUUUCUCCUAGCCUCCCAUAUUUUCAGAUCUAUAUGCACAGUCUCUCUCCUACAUUUCUAUCUAUUUCGUUAUGUAAAUCGUAUUUAUAUGUGGUUAUGACCUGCAUAAGGUAUGAUUUAAUUGUUUGUUGCAUUUCUAGUAAUGACGUUUAAUUCUUUGAUUGGGAAUUGUAUUAUAAUCUUUAUUUAAGUGGCCUGGUUCUGUUACAAAUGCAUUUGAUUGCAGACUAGAGUUUAUAUGUGGUUUUACGAAUGCAUUCCAUUGCAGCAUUCUGGUCUUCUCAUUGACCCGAAACCUGUAAUCUCUAUUUCCUUCUUUUAGAUCGUUUAUUCAGUUAUUUUUACUAAAUUUUUAUGAUAAUUUUACUAAUUUUUUUUAAUGACAAUUUUAUAGUUAUUAUAUGCGUGUGCAAUUAAAUUGUUUAGCCAUUUUUUUUAUUAGCUUGGAAUAUUUUGUGUUCUUGUGAUGGAACUGCUAUAUUUGAAUUAUCUUUUUGCAGUUAAUUGGUGUUUUAUGUAUUUGAAUUUUAUGAUAUUUGACUUAUAUCUAUUAAAGGGAGACAGAUUUCAUUUUUUUUUUUCUUCGCUGGUAUAAUUAUAGCAAUUUAAUCAAGGCUACAAAUGAAAAUGGAGGUACAGAAUAGUCUUGAGAUAGCACACAUUGCCAAAUACUUGAAUUCUUUAAUUAUUACUUUCGGUCGUUCUCAGUAAUUCUUCUUCAGAUAGCUAUGCCAAAGUUCACUAAUAAUUCUGGACAUAAGCUUUAAAACGUUGUGGUUGAGAUAUUAAAUAUUCUUUCGCAAAGUGAUGUGCUUCAAACCUUUGUUCAUGAGUUUGUUUAACUAAAAUACUUGAUUUGUUUUUUGUGAUAUUAUAUCACCUACUUUAUUCUUUUAUUUGUUAUCAUUUAAGCAUUGUGGCUGAAGUUGACUGAAUGAUGCCUAACCAUCCAUUUUUUUUUCUGAAGGCAGUAAUAGAUGAAAGAGGUGACCAUAUUUAUAUAGGUCUGAAAUAUUUAGGUGUGGUUGUAUAUUAUUUUACAGGUACGACAGGUGGAGGCUGGCAUUUCUUUUAAUCUUUGAAGUGGUAUACUGGCUAUUGCUUGCUUCCUACAUCUAAAAUAUGUCACAGUGGUCUUCAAAUGCAAGGUUUCAUUGCCCUUGAUCACUUGGAAUUAUAUUGAGAAAGCAUACUUAAUCAUUUUUUUAUUGUUUUUUUUUAUCUUGAACGAUUCCUGUAUUAUCACUUAGUCUUGAUUAGUAUUUUAUUUUUGUUUUUUGAUAGGGAGAUGUAUCAUAUUUUGAUGUAAAUGUAUAAUGUACUAGAGAAAAUGAAAUACAACUUGUAGUAUUGUGUUUGCAAUACAAGUAAUUCGUAUGCUAAAAUAUUUUUUUAGCUUUAUUGAUUUAAAUUUUUUUUUUGUAAAGGAGGGAAGAUUAUAAUUAUAUUUUGAAUUAAAUUUAUGUGGUUGUCCUUGAGCAUAUUAAUUUUCAGAAACAAUUUUAUAUUACCUCUAAUUAUAUCUCGAGGCAAAAUCAUAUGAUUACCCUAAAUAUAUGUGGUUUUUAGAAGCAAUGCGUUAUAUUGCCUCUAAUUAUAUUGCGAGAUAGAAUUAUAUGGUUGCCCCUAAAUAUAUGUAGUUUUAGAAGCAAUGUUUUAUAUCGUCUCUAAUUAUUUUUGAUGUAAGAAUAUAUAUUGUUGCCUCUAAUUAUAUUUUGAGGCAAGAAUAUAUAUGGUUGCCUCUAAUUAUAUUUUGAGGCAAGAAUAUAUAUGGUUGCCUCUAAUUAUAUUUUGAGGCAAGAAUUUAUAUGGUGGCCUCUAAUUUUAAUUUUGAUGCAAGAAUAUAUGGUUGCCUCUAAAUGUCGAGUCUUUUAGAGGCAACUAGUUAUAUUGCCUCAAAAAGGGACUUUUAGAGGCAACCAUUAAUUAGCGACGGAACUAUUAGAGGCAACCACUAAUUUGCUUCAAAAGGCAAUUAGAGGCUACAUCUUUGGUUUCAGAGGCAAAUCUCCCUUGCCUCUAUAUGUGAUUUUUCUUGUAGUGUGUGGAGGCUAUGAAAGCCCAAAUUCGGGAAGAUCUCAGAGCGGAGAUGACUCAAAAUUUCAACGCCAUUUUGGCGCAGAUGGGCUUACCGACUUUUGGUGCUUUCCAGCAGGGUAGUGUUCCUACGCAGCCUGAUCCAGUUCCGGAGUUCACGGGUACGGGGAAAGCCGACAGGAAGGGAAAGAAGGCAUGUUCACCUUAGGAAGGCCGACGUGAUGAAGUGGAGAAAGUAAAUGUUUCUAUGGCAAAGUGUCCACUCAUUACGGAGAUCGAGGUGGUGCAAGGCCUUACUUCUUCGUGCUUUUAGCUACAGGAGUGCGGUAGCGAUGUAGACGAUGAAGCAAUGAUUGAGAUUCAGUUGUCGCACCACCAAUUCCACUACUUUGAGGAUACAUCGACCUUCAUUUCUAAGGUUGAUAUUAAAGAAUUCUUACUUGGGGAAGAGAUGAAUGUUUCCAUGAUACAAACAUUCAUGAGGCUAUCAUACAAUGAAUUGAUUGCAUCUAGUGAGCCAAUGUUUGGUUGGUUAUGUCCAAGCUUAGUACGAGAUGACAAUUGCUUAAGAAAAAAAAAGGAGGUGAAAGACUAUCUCAAGUCUUCUUUGAAAGCAUGUUCUCGUCAACAAUAUAAGAUCAUUCUUCUUCCUUACAUUGAAUCGAAUCAUUGGACACUGAUUACAAUAUGUUUGUCACGUAACGAAGCCUACCACUUUGAUUCUUUGCGUAAACAAACACCACGGCCCUUACUAGUCAAAUCAUUGUUAAAUAGUAUGAUGCAGGAGGUUAAUGCAAUAUGACUUGGAGCACCAAAAUCUCCUGUUUGGCAUUCAGUCGAGUGUCCGCUACAAGAAGGUGGACUUGCGUGUGGGUAUUACGUCAUGAGAUUCAUGCUUGAUAUCGUCAACCGUUGCACACAUGUUGAUGAUCUUCAAAAUGU
This is a long non-coding RNA of Beta vulgaris subsp. vulgaris (sugar beet), 3139 nucleotides long. RefSeq lists it as uncharacterized. NCBI's taxonomy places the organism in Eukaryota, Viridiplantae, Streptophyta, Magnoliopsida, Caryophyllales, Amaranthaceae. The record is from RefSeq and is a predicted model, not a curated record. The transcript has 8 exons.